Molecule: long non-coding RNA, 608 nt
Organism: Rattus rattus (black rat)
Lineage: Eukaryota; Metazoa; Chordata; Mammalia; Rodentia; Muridae
Exons: 5
Source: RefSeq, a predicted model, not a curated record
UAGCGAAGGGCUGGAGGCAAACACCGAGCUCCCCCUGAGUCGCUUGGGAGCAGGGAGGGUUCUGCUACCCUGAGGGGCCCUCCCCGCGGGGCAGAGGGUGGGAGGAACUCACGGCAUGUACUUCUGAAUGUAUGCUUGCCUUGAGGAACAACGACAGGACACAGGGAUGUGGACAUUUUCAAUCAGAUGGUUCUGUCCGACAGUGUCGGCACACAGAGAGCGUUCCACUGACUGACCUCUUUUUGUUUUCAAAUGAAGAGAAGCCAAGAAUAGGACGGCCUAGGAAGGUGAGCUGCGUAUAACUCGUCAGACUGAGCUCAUCCUCGUCUAUGGCCAAAAGUUGGUUUCUCGUUUCUAGAAGAUGAAAGAUGUGAUGAUUUAGGAAAAAGCCAUUCUCUCUGCUUACUGCUUGCUGUUUGAGAUGUGCGUCUUCACACAUCCCUACCGACGUAUCUGACCGAUGCUGCCAAGAUUACCUGAUGGGAUGGACACUAAUACCUCUACAACCAGAAGCCCAAGUAAACUCUUCUAUAAGUUGAAUUAAUUACGCUUUUUUUUAAAAAAGAAAUCUUUAUUUUAUGUGCAUUGAUGUUUCGCCUACAUGUAUG